CCUACGGGUGGCAGCAGUGGGGAAUAUUGGACAAUGGGGGCAACCCUGAUCCAGCCAUGCCGCGUGUGUGAAGAAGGCCCUCGGGUUGUAAAGCACUUUCAGUGAGGAAGAACGCCUGGUGGUUAAUACCCAUCAGGAAAGACAUCACUCACAGAAGAAGCACCGGCUAACUCCGUGCCAGCAGCCGCGGUAAUACGGAGGGUGCGAGCGUUAAUCGGAAUUACUGGGCGUAAAGCUCGCGUAGGUGGCUUGAUAAGCCGGUUGUGAAAGCCCCGGGCUCAACCUGGGAACGGCAUCCGGAACUGUCAAGCUAGAGUGCAGGAGAGGAAGGUAGAAUUCCCGGUGUAGCGGUGAAAUGCGUAGAGAUCGGGAGGAAUACCAGUGGCGAAGGCGGCCUUCUGGACUGACACUGACACUGAGGUGCGAAAGCGUGGGUAGCAAACAGGAUUAGAUACCCUGGUAGUC
RNAcentral lists this ribosomal RNA (465 nucleotides) under Vreelandella stevensii. RNAcentral describes it as "partial 16S ribosomal RNA". It matches the Rfam family "Bacterial small subunit ribosomal RNA", at positions 338 to 795 of the family's 1533-position model. Lineage: Bacteria; Pseudomonadati; Pseudomonadota; Gammaproteobacteria; Oceanospirillales; Halomonadaceae. The record is from RNAcentral.